This is a long non-coding RNA of Triticum aestivum (bread wheat), 895 nucleotides long. RefSeq lists it as uncharacterized. The transcript is spliced from 4 exons. NCBI's taxonomy places the organism in Eukaryota, Viridiplantae, Streptophyta, Magnoliopsida, Poales, Poaceae. The record is from RefSeq and is a predicted model, not a curated record.
CGCCGGCCCACACCCCCUAUCGUGCGGCAGCGCCGCCUAUCCCGCCGGUGCGCCUACCCCUACCCCACGUGCCCCAAAAGGCCAACACCGGUGGCCUUCCACUGCCCGGCGACCCCGCGGCCAUCAUCGUGCAGACGUGCAAGCAAUGUCCGUGGCCUUCAUGAACGAGCUGACCCUGGUGUCGUGCGUCGUAUCUAAGCUUCCGGAGUUACCGUCGUCGCUCACGCUCGACCUGCUCGACACCCUCCUCAAAUCCGCUGCCAUCGCUUCAUUAAGGCCGCUCUUCUCCCCUCGCGGACCCCAUAUCCCAUUGGUCCCCUAGCCAGUUGCUGGCAGGCUGUCGACGGCGACCAACGCCACCGCCGCCUCAUUCUGAUUCAACCACUGAUCGAUCCAAUCUUCCACUGCAGAAAAGCACCAACAAGCAUUGGAUACGCCCUCGCCUGGUGAUCUCGCUGGAGGUGUUGUGAGGCAGGAAGUGUGAUUAGAUUAGAAUCGACAAGAAGCAGCGACCAUCUCCCUUACAUGGAUUUGCAGCGGCCAAAGUGAGCUUAUUGAAUCUUGAGAUGGAAAAGAUUGUACUUGCAGCAACACCGCCUGCAUCUUGACCGAUGCCCCCAUCACGAUGAUCAACAUGGCCUAUUCCAGGUUAUCAAAUAUAAUCUUCACCAUGGCCGAAGGUAAAUUUGUUCAGGAUAUUAGUUUGUUUCAUCCACCAAGAUAAACAACAGGUGGCAUAUGGUGAUGAGAUAGGCUUCUUCAGCUCUUUAUUUGGCAGUUCUCUUCUCGAAUCCCCUCUCUUUUCAAUGUUGUCCAGAAAUUUCAGCAACACAACUUUGUCAUCUUGCCAGGCAAUCAUGCUAAUUGAGAAAGAAGUGGUAUCCAGGACUAUGUA